AAGCUAAGUUAUCUACUUUCAUUCUUCUUCUACUUCAGUUUCUAGUUGUUAAACGUGGGGGUUCUCAUGAUUCGAUGUUCUAAGGUGGAAUCAUGGAAGAAGGUAGAGCAUUGAAGUCAAGCUUACCUUGAGAAUGCUUGGCAGAGAAGGAGUGCAGAUUCCUGCCGUUGCUGCUAAGUGUUGAAUGGAGAGAGUGGUGGUUUGAGGAGUGAAGUGUGGAGUUUAAACUAGAAGGCUGUAUUGUUGGAGUGUGAGAAGUGCAGCAGGCUCAAGAGAAGGGGAAAAUAGGGGAGUGUGCAGCUGCUGCAGCACAUGUCUCCACACCCUUUUCCUUUUUCCCAUUUUCUUAAACUUGGGUGUUGUGGCAGGGGUGAAGUGUUUACUGCCGCUACAGUUGCUGCAGAAAAAAGGGGAGGGGACGCAGCUGAUCUUAUUCUCCCCUCUCUCCUUAUAUUAUUUCUUUUGUUGCAGGUGGUAGAAUAGAGUUGUAGUAUACAUGUAGGGUUGUAAGGUUUGUAAUGGUAAGGGAUUAAAAGUUGUGAAGUGAUUUAACUAAAAUCCUUCAGUGUUGGUCGUUCUGUAUUAGAACUUUGGUAUCGAGUUUUUCUAAUGUCGAGCACUUGUAUUCAGAUACAGAUUAAUCGAAUAAUUCUUGUAUCUGAUAUC
Salvia miltiorrhiza (redroot sage) is the source of this 666-nucleotide long non-coding RNA. RefSeq lists it as uncharacterized. The transcript is spliced from 2 exons. Lineage: Eukaryota; Viridiplantae; Streptophyta; Magnoliopsida; Lamiales; Lamiaceae. The record is from RefSeq and is a predicted model, not a curated record.